UCGAACGAUGAACCCGCUUGCGGGGGAUUAGUGGCGAACGGGUGAGUAACACGUGAGUAACCUGCCCUUAACUCUGGGAUAAGCCUUGGAAACGGGGUCUAAUACUGGAUAUUGACUUUACCUCGCAUGGGGUUUUGUUGAAAGAUUUAUUGGUUUUGGAUGGACUCGCGGCCUAUCAGCUUGUUGGUGAGGUAAUGGCUCACCAAGGCGACGACGGGUAGCCGGCCUGAGAGGGUGACCGGCCACACUGGGACUGAGACACGGCCCAGACUCCUACGGGAGGCAGCAGUGGGGAAUAUUGCACAAUGGGCGAAAGCCUGAUGCAGCGACGCCGCGUGAGGGAUGACGGCCUUCGGGUUGUAAACCUCUUUCAGUAGGGAACAAGGCCAGCA
RNAcentral lists this ribosomal RNA (392 nucleotides) under Arthrobacter psychrolactophilus. Its description in RNAcentral is "bacterial SSU rRNA". It matches the Rfam family "Bacterial small subunit ribosomal RNA", at positions 62 to 457 of the family's 1533-position model. The record is from RNAcentral. Lineage: Bacteria; Bacillati; Actinomycetota; Actinomycetes; Micrococcales; Micrococcaceae.